AGGGGAAACACCCGUUCCCAUCCCGAACACGACGGUUAAGACUUAAGCGGCCGAUGGUACUAUGCUGGAGACGGCAUGGGAGAGCAGGUGGGUGCCG
Molecule: ribosomal RNA, 97 nt
Filed under: human gut metagenome
Source: RNAcentral